UGGGGAAUUUUGGACAAUGGGCGAAAGCCUGAUCCAGCAAUGCCGCGUGUGUGAAGAAGGCCUUCGGGUUGUAAAGCACUUUUGUCCGGAAAGAAAUCCUUGGUUCUAAUACAGUCGGGGGAUGACGGUACCGGAAGAAUAAGCACCGGCUAACUACGUGCCAGCAGCCGCGGUAAUACGUAGGGUGCAAGCGUUAAUCGGAAUUACUGGGCGUAAAGCGUGCGCAGGCGGUUUGCUAAGACCGAUGUGAAAUCCCGGGCUCAACCUGGGAACUGCAUUGGUGACUGGCAGGCUAGAGUAUGGCAGAGGGGGGUAGAAUUCCACGUGUAGCAGUGAAAUGCGUAGAGAUGUGGAGGAAUACCGAUGGCGAAGGCAGCCCCCUGGGCCAAUACUGACGCUCAUGCACGAAAGCGUGGGGAGCAAACAGGAUUAGAUACCCUGGUAGUCCACGCCCUAAACGAUGUCAACUAGUUGUUGGGGAUUCAUUUCCUUAGUAACGUAGCUAACGCGUGAAGUUGACCGCCUGGGGAGUACGGUCGUCAAGAUUAAAACUUAAAUGAAUUGACGGGGUCAUAGCUGUUUCCU
RNAcentral lists this ribosomal RNA (585 nucleotides) under uncultured bacterium. RNAcentral's name for it is "partial 16S ribosomal RNA". It matches the Rfam family "Bacterial small subunit ribosomal RNA", at positions 355 to 1375 of the family's 1533-position model. The record is from RNAcentral.